This 441-nucleotide ribosomal RNA is filed under the name uncultured bacterium. RNAcentral's name for it is "partial 16S ribosomal RNA". It matches the Rfam family "Bacterial small subunit ribosomal RNA", at positions 338 to 795 of the family's 1533-position model. The record is from RNAcentral.
CCUACGGGAGGCAGCAGUCGGGAAUAUUGCGCAAUGGAGGAAACUCUGACGCAGUGACGCCGCGUAUAGGAAGAAGGUUUUCGGAUUGUAAACUAUUGUCGUUAGGUAAGAUAAAAGACUGUACCUAAGGAGGAAGCCCCGGCUAACUAUGUGCCAGCAGCCGCGGUUAUACAUAGGGGGCAAGCGUUAUCCGGAAUUAUUGGGUGUAAAGGGUGAGUAGACGGGAGAACAAGUUGGUUGUGAAAUCCCUGGGCUCAACUGAGGAACUGCAAGCAAAAGUAUUCUCCUUGAUUGUCAGAGAGGACAGUGGGAUUCCUAGAUUAGCGGUGAACUGCGUAGAUAUUAGGAGGAAACCCAGUGGCGAAAGCGACUUUCUGGACGAUAACUGACGUUGAGGCACGAAAGUGUGGGGAGCAAACAGGAUUAGAUACCCUAGUAGUC